Molecule: ribosomal RNA, 253 nt
Filed under: uncultured bacterium
Lineage: Bacteria
Description: partial 16S ribosomal RNA
Rfam family: Bacterial small subunit ribosomal RNA
Source: RNAcentral
UACGUAGGGUGCGAGCGUUAAUCGGAAUUACUGGGCGUAAAGCGUGCGCAGGCGGUUUUGUAAGCCAGAUGUGAAAUCCCCGGGCUCAACCUGGGAAUGGCAUUUGGGACUGCAGGGCUCGAGUGCGGCAGAGGAGACUGGAAUUCCUGGUGUAGCAGUGAAAUGCGUAGAUAUCAGGAGGAACACCGAUGGCGAAGGCAGGUCUCUGGGCUGACACUGACGCUCAUGCACGAAAGCGUGGGGAGCAAACAGG